This 253-nucleotide ribosomal RNA is filed under the name uncultured bacterium. RNAcentral's name for it is "partial 16S ribosomal RNA". It matches the Rfam family "Bacterial small subunit ribosomal RNA", at positions 524 to 776 of the family's 1533-position model. The record is from RNAcentral.
UACGUAGGGUGCAAGCGUUAAUCGGAAUUACUGGGCGUAAAGCGUGCGCAGGCGGUUAUGUAAGACAGUUGUGAAAUCCCCGGGCUCAACCUGGGAACUGCAUCUGUGACUGCAUAGCUAGAGUACGGUAGAGGGGGAUGGAAUUCCGCGUGUAGCAGUGAAAUGCGUAGAUAUGCGGAGGAACACCGAUGGCGAAGGCAAUCCCCUGGACCUGUACUGACGCUGAGGAGCGAAAGCCAGGGGAGCAAACGGG